GUUUUUCUCACUCUGUGCUCAUUAUUGGUGCAGGGUGUGUUGAAUAUAUUGCUUGUCUGUGCCUCUUCCUCUCCCCCUUUUUCCUGUCCUAUUGUUUCCCCAGCGUUGGGCGUUGUUGCAGGGAUACUGCCAGACCAGUUUAAACUAGCUGCUCUGUCCCUCCUCAAUCCCCCACCUGACCCCACCCUUCCUUGUACUAUAGUGCUUUAUGUACCCUAUUGUAUUUACAUGAGGCUGUUG
This is a non-coding RNA of Pelobates cultripes (western spadefoot toad), 240 nucleotides long. The record is from the annotation of a GenBank genome assembly. Lineage: Eukaryota; Metazoa; Chordata; Amphibia; Anura; Pelobatidae.